RNAcentral lists this ribosomal RNA (348 nucleotides) under Triticum aestivum (bread wheat). Its description in RNAcentral is "partial small subunit ribosomal RNA". Lineage: Eukaryota; Viridiplantae; Streptophyta; Magnoliopsida; Poales; Poaceae. The record is from RNAcentral.
AUGUACUUGGCGUGUCAUCAUGUAGACGUAGUACUUCCGAAGAGGAACUUGGCGCGUCCAAAAUCUUCGGGGAUAGACCUUGGACUUGGCGGUGGUCUCCUCGGGUCAACGGUGAUGUGCAUGGGCCGGAACGCCCGGCGGCUUGGGCUGCUCAAGGCCAUGGAGUUGACAGGUAGCAGGAGGCUGCUAGCGGAGGCAGAGCCACGACGAGGAGGUCAUGCUCCGGCGGCUGCAAGUGGUAGACGUACGCAGGCAGCGACAAGGCUUCGGGCGCGAGGAAGAAGGAUCCGGCACGAGGUGGCUGGUGGAGGAGCUCAUCUCACGCGUAGGGAAGGAGGUUGGGGCUAG